GGCACCCAGUGCAGCAAGCUUCGACAUUCGAUUGGACACAUCCGGACUUCAGAUCUUGGUUUAGCCAUGGAGAUCCCGGAAGGGGAGACCACCCAAGGAAGAGUCGGAACGCUCAGCUACACGGAACUUUCUCAUCACCUCAGAGAAGGCCCGCGCCCGUCAGCAGUCACUCCCCACUCCUCACGUCCGCCCCCAGCCCUGCAGCCCCUCAUCUGCUUCCUGUCUCCGUGGACUCGUCUCUUCUGGCUGUUUCGUACGGGUGGACUCACGCGCUCUGUGGCCUUUCGUGUCUGCCUUCUUUGGUUUAACGUGUUGGCGAGGGUCAUCCACGUGGUGACAGACAUUAAGGUUAAGUGUGUUGUUUG
Long non-coding RNA from Aethalodelphis obliquidens (Pacific white-sided dolphin), 365 nucleotides. RefSeq lists it as uncharacterized. The record is from RefSeq and is a predicted model, not a curated record. Lineage: Eukaryota; Metazoa; Chordata; Mammalia; Artiodactyla; Delphinidae. The transcript has 3 exons.